GCCCAGACUCCUACGGGAGGCAGCAGUGGGGAAUAUUGCACAAUGGGGGAAACCCUGAUGCAGCGACGCCGCGUGAGCGAUGAAGUAUUUCGGUAUGUAAAGCUCUAUCAGCAGGGAAGAAGAUGACGGUACCUGACUAAGAAGCCCCGGCUAACUACGUGCCAGCAGCCGCGGUAAUACGUAGGGGGCAAGCGUUAUCCGGAUUUACUGGGUGUAAAGGGGGCGCAGACGGCAGCGCAAGCCAGGAGUGAAAGCCCGGGGCCCAACCCCGGGACUGCUCUUGGAACUGCGCGGCUGGAGUGCAGGAGGGGCAGGCGGAAUUCCUGGUGUAGCGGUGAAAUGCGUAGAUAUCAGGAGGAACACCGGCGGCGAAGGCGGCCUGCUGGACCGUGACUGACGUUGAGGCUCGAGAGCGUGGGGAGCAAACAGGAUUAGAUACCCCUGUA
Molecule: ribosomal RNA, 446 nt
Filed under: uncultured bacterium
Lineage: Bacteria
Description: bacterial SSU rRNA
Rfam family: Bacterial small subunit ribosomal RNA
Source: RNAcentral